Molecule: long non-coding RNA, 3280 nt
Organism: Papio anubis (olive baboon)
Lineage: Eukaryota; Metazoa; Chordata; Mammalia; Primates; Cercopithecidae
Source: Ensembl
GGCAACCCAAAAACAAGUGAGAACCCAUGGAAAUGGUUACCAGGGAGAUGUCAACAUUCCAGGAAUAAGAAUGCAUUGCAGGUCAGUUGGCUGGACCUCAUUGUGACCUGGGAGCCCUGCAUGAUGAAGGGAUGAUGGGUGAGUUACUAAGGCUGACUUUUUCCUGAGGACAUUGAGUUAGGGAAGUGGCCUCUCCUUGAGGGAAGGAGCCAGAUGGCUUCUCAGAGAACAACCACCACAUUCAAAAUAUUCUCAAGUUUCCUUUGUUUCUUCUUGUCUGCGUCUGAUGUCCAGGACGUUACUCCACAGGAAAAGGUUAAUAUGAGAUCAAGAUCGGCCAGAUGCUGGGGAUGCCUUGGUGAAAAAAUUAGAGCCACGCAAAGGAAGUCUUGUGUUCUUGAAAGAGGAAUCAGACAAAUACACAGAAUGUCACCAAGAGCUGUUUUGUCUGUCAACAAGAGAGACAGAGACUGCAGACGGCUACAGAGAAGAUUCUACACAGGGAAGGCCCCACACAUAGCUGGCUACAUCAACUACAAAGGAUAUCCUUUGGGGAGGGAGUUCUGAGGACUGCUUUCUACUGAGACUUCAAUCUAUAUGGUGUAUGGCUCCCAACAGACUGAUCACUGUGGUAACUAUAAACCUGAUGGUCAAAUGCUUAGAAAAGUCCCUGGUUAUAAUAGAAAAAAUAUGAAGGUAGCAUGCCCAACAUAGCAUGCAUUUAGGCUAUGCAUAAGUAUAUAUCACUCUUGUUUUUAUGGACAGAAAGCUAUUAACAGAAUAGGGAAAAACAAUGGGCCUCUGGUGGGAUUAAAGGAGUUGGCGUCACAUGGUAGAUCCAAGUUCCCCUGGGGAAUGACCCCACCCGAAACAAGGAAGGCUGUGAGAGGCCUUAUGGCACUCUCAAAUUAAAUUACAUCUACCUGUAAACACCAAUCAUCUAACUCUAGUGUGGGGACCCAAUAUUUUUUGCAAAACAUUUAUUCUAACUGCAUUCAGGCCAUUAGUACACAACAGCAAUGAUAUGCAUGGUAGAUUAAACAACACCGGCUCAUAAGACAGAAAAGGGCCUCAGGAGAGAUAGGUGCAGGUCUAGGUAUCCUGGGACAAGCUGAGUUUACUGUUAAUGUGGAGCAGUAUUCGGAGGAAAAAGAUUUAUUAACUAGAAGAGACAGAACAGAGGAAAUUCUCUUCCAGGAGGACGGCAAAGGAUGGGAGUCAGGGCGGAAAGAUAACGAGGCUUUAGCAAAGUGGAUCAGGCUGGCUCAACAAACAAUGCUGGGCACUGCUAACACCCAGCCCAGGGUUUGUACCUGACUCAACAGGGCCUCUUGACUCUUUUAAUACAGAUGGAAGCUGAAGUGGCCGUGGGGCAGUGACCUGCUAUUCUGGCUGCUGAGGUCCAAAGACCCACCCAUGGGAGUCUGAGGGCCUUCCAAACUUAUGGAAGUUCUCUGAGGGCACUUGUAGUGUUACACUGAUAGACUAUGACUGCUCUCCCCCACAGCAUAGGUCAAAAUGAAAUAUAUCCUGCAGUACGGUUGGUAGAAAUAGGAACCAUCUAAAUACCACCUGUGUCCUCCCUGCAGGAAAGAGGUGGGCCUUGCUAUAUAAUAACACACCAUAGAAACCAGCCUCAGUACAAGCCUGUGAGAUGAGGUGGGGUGAUUCCUUUUGUCCUCAAUUAACUAGAAACCCAGAAAUAACUAACAUGGCCAAUUGUAAUAAUGCCCUUCCUUAAUAAUAUCUGACAAAUGGCCAAGAGUGGAUUCCACUGGGAAGACAAGACAAAUUCCUCUGUAAUUCUUACUGAUUUAUCCUUUUAUGAAACUGAGUUGUCCCAUGAUCAUACUGUGAUGUGGUGUCAUACUGGUGUUGUAAGUAAGAUUCAAUUACCUAGUAUAAAUAAAUCUUACGAUACUACUGAUAUUGGUGAUUCAACGUAUUGGGAGAUUGAGUUAAAGUCUCUCCAGGAUGUAAUACUUAUGAAAAAUGACUGACUUGAAGAGAAAUAGGAUUUAGCUAACCAUCAGCUGAUUUCUGUGCUAAAUAGUUCUGCGAAACUUAUUAUAAGAUACAAAGAGCAAUAGAAUGCACAAAUUAGUGCGAGAAUAUGAAAAUAUUGGUAAUGGUUUUAUAGGAUAAAUUAGCUGUUUCUUUACAUCUAUCCCUACUCCACCCUGAGGGAUCAGAGAGCUUCUGGGUAAUACAUACAUCUGUGUGCUGGGUGAGGGAGGCACACCCCUAUUCCAUGCGGACAGAAACCUCCAUGCUCAGGGCCCUUCUAGACCUUGCCCUGUGUAUCUCUCCAUUUGGCUGUUCAUUUGUAUCCUUUAAAAUGAACUUUGUAUAAGCCUUUGUAAUAAAUUGGUAAUAGUAAGUAAACCAUUUUCCUGGGCUCUGUGAGCUGCUUUAGCAAAUUGUUUAACUCAGGAGGGGAUUAUGAGAACCUCUAAUUUGUAGUCAAGCUAGAUAGACGUUGUGGGGAAACUGAGGACCUACCACUUGCGAUUGCAUCUGAAGUGGGGGGCAGUCUGAUGGGGCUACAACCUUAACCUGUGCAGAUACUAAUUCCAGUUAGUGUCAGAGUUGAAUUGAAUCAUAGGUCAUCCAGCUGGUAUAGGAGAAUUGUUCAGUAUGGGAAAAAAAAACAACCCAUAUCUGACUACAGUAGUGCUGAAUGUGAGUAUAGAGACAAACAGUUGAUUUUUUUCUAUACAUUUUAUGUCAGAAGUGAAGCAUGAAUUGAGAAUGGUGUGAGUAUAGAAGGAAAAGCAGUUUGUGUUUCUCUAUCUACAAGCCCAGGCCGCAUGGAGAGAUACGUGCAGGUUUUCUAGUUGACAACCCCAGCCAAAAUCUCAGCUGAUAGAGUCAACCUCCAACUCUAAGUGAGUAAACCUUCAAAUGCUUCCAAGUCCCUGCCUUUGAACCUCAGCCAAUCCUGAGUGGAACAGAGAUGAGCUAACCUACCAAGCCUGCUGAAAUUACAGAUUAUGAGAAAACUAAAUAUAGCCGUUAUUUUAAACCACUGCAUUAUGAGGUAAUUAUUAUGCAGCCACACAAACGGGAAUGGAACCCAUUUUAUUCAAUGACAGCUUCUGUGACUUUGCUGAAGCCUUAAUAAUGAAUUACAUGGCAAGAAGUAGAUUUGCAUCUAUGAACAGAUCAAGAGGAAAGAAAUUGUCUUGUUAGAACAACAACUCUGUUUCAGGAAAAACAUUUUCUCUGGUAAAAGUUUCAGCAAUUGUGUUAGUUUCUGGUGGCUGUUGUAACAUUACCA